Long non-coding RNA from Lagopus leucura (white-tailed ptarmigan), 1570 nucleotides. RefSeq lists it as uncharacterized. The transcript is spliced from 5 exons. The record is from RefSeq and is a predicted model, not a curated record. Lineage: Eukaryota; Metazoa; Chordata; Aves; Galliformes; Phasianidae.
CUUGAAGGAGGAGCGGCCCCUUCAAAACUGAGCUGUGUUCCCUGAGCUGUGCCCUGCUGCCAAGCCAGCCCCACACCGCUGCCUCUGCCUGGUCCAGGCUGUCAGAUGAACGUUCUCCCGACCUCCAGAAAGCAUCGCAGAGCAGCGGGGGAAGGGGCUGGAGCUGACAGGCUGCAGACCUGCCUGGUAGCCAUGUAAAAUCCCCCGAGAGACGCCCAGGACAGCACCGCAGCGAGGAUGGUGACAGCCUGCUGAGAGCUGCAGUGCAGCACUGCGUGUAUUUGACAAGCUGAGUUUGACACUCAGUCUGGCAGAGUGUCAGUUUGUCAAAUACCCCAAGUGAGGCACUUGCUGAGCAACACGGCCAUGCACUGAGGCGAUGGACUCCUUCAUGCCCAUAUUCUGCUCCUCUCUAAAAACCCAACAAGGUACUUCCACAUCAGUGUCCAAUCUAAUCACAUCUGCAGUGCGGUGGCUGAAACAAAGAGACAUUCUUAAGAAUGAGGACUAAAUCCCCCUUAACAGCUGCUAUCUCACUCCACCUCCUCUGCAUAAUGGAGAGAAUGUAAGAUGGACAAGUUCUCGAAUUAAGUUAGAGGCACUUUAAUGACAAAAGCAAAGGCCACGUGUGGAAGCGAUCAGAAAGAAGCAGGGUGAUUUAUUCUUUGCUUCCCAUCGGCCGGCAAUACCCAGCCACUGCCUGGGAAUCUGAGCCUCAGUACACGUGAUGGUUGCUUCCAAAGGCAAUUGAUGUAACCAGAAACGCCUCCCCUAGCUCCUCCCACAUCCCUCAGCAUUAUUGUUGAGCUGGGUGUCAUACGGUGUGGAAAAUCUUUGUGGUCAGGAUAGGUCAGCUGUCCUGGCUGCGUCCUACCCAAGCUGUUGCCAACCCCGACCUGCUGGCCUCUGUGGGUUGGAAAGAGAGCCUUGGUGCUGCACAAGUGCUCAGCAAUAGCCAAAUCCCUGUGGGGUUACUGACACUGUUUUAGGCACAAAUGUAAAGCAGUGUUAGGGGUGUUAUGAGGAAUAUUAACUCUGUCCCAGACAGAUAAAAGAAAUCUCUGGCUUUUUGCUGAGUAAAAAGGCUUUUCUGAAACAAAUAACAGUAUGAUGCCCUCAAAAGUCUUCUCAACAUAAUAGGUGAAAAAUUGUACUUACAAAGCAACUUCAUAGAUGGAUUCUGAAAAAAAGGAAGAAUUGAAGAUAUGCAUCAGUACAUUUUAUGACGAAUGUACCCCAGAAAUAAAAAUAAAAAGGGAAGAAAGCAAGCAAAACCAACAAAGAAACCACAGAUGCUUCCAGGUAUUUGCACCUUCAGGAAUCCACCUUGUUGCUCCCUGGGGGGACAGUGGGGCAAGGAGGGGGCCAAGGCAGAGUGAUGGGACUGUGGGGAUUAGGAAUGGGGCUGGAGGGAGCACAGUGCCCUGCCCUACCUGCCCACCCCUGUUAAAAAGAUGCUGUUCUGAAUGCCUUUAACAAAAAUAAUUUUUAGAAAGUGCAUGCUCUUGUGUGUUCAAGCAUUCAAUAAAUAUAUUCUGUGUUUGUUAAUAAAAAGGAAAUGCCUUUUUCA